RNAcentral lists this long non-coding RNA (421 nucleotides) under Neogobius melanostomus (round goby). RNAcentral's name for it is "lncRNA (ENSNMLG00000012045.1)". The record is from RNAcentral. Lineage: Eukaryota; Metazoa; Chordata; Actinopteri; Gobiiformes; Gobiidae.
GUUUGGCUGUUUUUAUCGACCCCCCACCCACGUGAUUUCCUGUAAAUAUCACGCGUAAAAGCGAAACAGAAAGUAGACAGUUGGAAAUCCCCAUUUUGUGAACAGACGCACUGACACAAGCCGGUGCUGAAGUGUGUGACGUCAAUCAAAAAUGGCUUCGAAUAAUAAACAAAAACUGCAGAGACCAGAGUCACCAGAUUCCAGCAGUGAGUCGGAGGAGAGUGUUUUGUCACGAUUAACUCGUCUGGGAUUCUACCAUGAAUCCUACGAUCAACUACCGUCGGCUGUUUCCCUGAGGAGUGACAAUUCCAAAGGCAUGCCCCCAGACUUCAGAGAAUCAGGCCCAUACUCGUAAGAACAAGCUUUAUAAUGUUAGAGGCAAAUAAAACGGACCAAAUCAUCUUUCAGGGUUCCAGUGGAG